RNAcentral lists this ribosomal RNA (678 nucleotides) under Pseudomonas fluorescens. RNAcentral's name for it is "bacterial SSU rRNA". It matches the Rfam family "Bacterial small subunit ribosomal RNA", at positions 51 to 727 of the family's 1533-position model. The record is from RNAcentral. Lineage: Bacteria; Pseudomonadati; Pseudomonadota; Gammaproteobacteria; Pseudomonadales; Pseudomonadaceae.
CCACCUGCAGUCGAGCGGAUGAAAGGAGCUUGCUCCUGGAUUCGCGGCGGACGGGUGAGUAAUGCCUAGGAAUCUGCCUGGUAGUGGGGGACAACGUUUCGAAAGGAACGCUAAUACCGCAUACGUCCUACGGGAGAAAGCAGGGGACCUUCGGGCCUUGCGCUAUCAGAUGAGCCUAGGUCGGAUUAGCUAGUUGGUGAGGUAAUGGCUCACCAAGGCGACGAUCCGUAACUGGUCUGAGAGGAUGAUCAGUCACACUGGAACUGAGACACGGUCCAGACUCCUACGGGAGGCAGCAGUGGGGAAUAUUGGACAAUGGGCGAAAGCCUGAUCCAGCCAUGCCGCGUGUGUGAAGAAGGUCUUCGGAUUGUAAAGCACUUUAAGUUGGGAGGAAGGGUUGUAGAUUAAUACUCUGCAAUUUUGACGUUACCGACAGAAUAAGCACCGGCUAACUCUGUGCCAGCAGCCGCGGUAAUACAGAGGGUGCAAGCGUUAAUCGGAAUUACUGGGCGUAAAGCGCGCGUAGGUGGUUCGUUAAGUUGGAUGUGAAAUCCCCGGGCUCAACCUGGGAACUGCAUCCAAAACUGGCGAGCUAGAGUAUGGUAGAGGGUGGUGGAAUUUCCUGUGUAGCGGUGAAAUGCGUAGAUAUAGGAAGGAACACCAGUGGCGAAGUAUUUG